UUACCUACGGGGCGCAGCAGUGGGGAAUAUUGCACAAUGGGGGAAACCCUGAUGCAGCAACGCCGCGUGAAGGAAGACGGUUUUCGGAUUGUAAACCUCUGUCCUCUGUGAAGAUAAUGACGGUAGCAGAGGAGGAAGCUCCGGCUAACUACGUGCCAGCAGCCGCGGUAAUACGUAGGGAGCGAGCGUUGUCCGGAUUUACUGGGUGUAAAGGGUGCGUAGGCGGGUAAGCAAGUCAGAAGUGAAAUCCAUGGGCUUAACCCAUGAACUGCUUUUGAAACUGUUUAUCUUGAGUGAAGUAGAGG
RNAcentral lists this ribosomal RNA (305 nucleotides) under uncultured bacterium. Its description in RNAcentral is "bacterial SSU rRNA". It matches the Rfam family "Bacterial small subunit ribosomal RNA", at positions 335 to 657 of the family's 1533-position model. The record is from RNAcentral.